This 562-nucleotide ribosomal RNA is filed under the name Salmonella enterica subsp. enterica serovar Senftenberg. RNAcentral describes it as "partial 23S ribosomal RNA". It matches the Rfam family "Bacterial large subunit ribosomal RNA", at positions 711 to 1269 of the family's 2925-position model. The record is from RNAcentral. Lineage: Bacteria; Pseudomonadati; Pseudomonadota; Gammaproteobacteria; Enterobacterales; Enterobacteriaceae. RNAcentral also lists the same sequence under 3 other names.
AGACCCGAAACCCGGUGAUCUAGCCAUGGGCAGGUUGAAGGUUGGGUAACACUAACUGGAGGACCGAACCGACUAAUGUUGAAAAAUUAGCGGAUGACCUGUGGCUGGGGGUGAAAGGCCAAUCAAACCGGGAGAUAGCUGGUUCUCCCCGAAAGCUAUUUAGGUAGCGCCUCGUGAAUUCAUCUCCGGGGGUAGAGCACUGUUUCGGCUAGGGGGCCAUCCCGGCUUACCAACCCGAUGCAAACUGCGAAUACCGGAGAAUGUUAUCACGGGAGACACACGGCGGGUGCUAACGUCCGUCGUGAAGAGGGAAACAACCCAGACCGCCAGCUAAGGUCCCAAAGUCAUGGUUAAGUGGGAAACGAUGUGGGAAGGCCCAGACAGCCAGGAUGUUGGCUUAGAAGCAGCCAUCAUUUAAAGAAAGCGUAAUAGCUCACUGGUCGAGUCGGCCUGCGCGGAAGAUGUAACGGGGCUAAACCAUGCACCGAAGCUGCGGCAGCGACGCUGAUGCGUUGUUGGGUAGGGGAGCGUUCUGUAAGCCUGUGAAGGUGGCCUGUGAGGG